GUUUAAAACAGUUUGCUUUAAAAACACACAUGAUUAGGCAACUACAUCGGCGUAGCGCGUGCUUGUGAUGUCAUUUCGUCAUCAGCAGCGGACAUCUUGGGAUUUGUCGCGACAUUUAGCGCUCUUCAAUUUUCGCGCUCAACUCCUGCACGCUAGAAGUUGGCAACACUGCGGUUACUAGAGAAGAGGACAUCAAAAGAGUGAGAGUGAGAGUGAGGCGAGUUGAGGUAUGUCCAAACAGUGAGGUGCAUGCUGUUCUGUCAAAGUAUCAAGAGGGAAAUUCUCUGGUCCUGUGCAUCCUGCAACUCUUAAUGGCCCAUUUUAAAGAGAGAACAGAAUCCCUUCUAAUUGAAGCUGAUGUAGCAGCAACUGCAACCGACAUGGAAAGAAAUGGAUUACCGGAUUCACACGCACUGAUCUUUCAAGGUGAAUCCAUGACCCCAAGCAAGUGGAUGUUGUCAGUCGAAAGGGAAGUUGUCAUUGGCCCAUGUUCAGAGGCAUUUGUUGAGGGCCUGGCAGCAUAGUUUGCAACCUAUUACAACUUAAACCUUGCUUAUCAGGAUGAAGCUGCAUGCACCCUCGAAAUUAUUCAGAGGUAUGUCAGAACAUAAACUCUU
Molecule: long non-coding RNA, 617 nt
Filed under: Sinocyclocheilus grahami
Lineage: Eukaryota; Metazoa; Chordata; Actinopteri; Cypriniformes; Cyprinidae
Description: lncRNA (ENSSGRG00000014066.1)
Source: RNAcentral